This 619-nucleotide ribosomal RNA is filed under the name Trichoderma atroviride. RNAcentral describes it as "eukaryotic LSU rRNA". The stretch from base 224 to 377 matches the Rfam family "5.8S ribosomal RNA". The record is from RNAcentral. Lineage: Eukaryota; Fungi; Ascomycota; Sordariomycetes; Hypocreales; Hypocreaceae.
UACUAUAGUCUCGUUGGUGACCAGCGGAGGGAUCAUUACCGAGUUUACAACUCCCAAACCCAAUGUGAACCAUACCAAACUGUUGCCUCGGCGGGGUCACGCCCCGGGCGCGUCGCAGCCCCGGAACCAGGCGCCCGCCGGAGGGACCAACCAAACUCUUUUCUGUAGUCCCCUCGCGGACGUUAUUUCUUACAGCUCUGAGCAAAAAUUCAAAAUGAAUCAAAACUUUCAACAACGGAUCUCUUGGUUCUGGCAUCGAUGAAGAACGCAGCGAAAUGCGAUAAGUAAUGUGAAUUGCAGAAUUCAGUGAAUCAUCGAAUCUUUGAACGCACAUUGCGCCCGCCAGUAUUCUGGCGGGCAUGCCUGUCCGAGCGUCAUUUCAACCCUCGAACCCCUCCGGGGGGUCGGCGUUGGGGACCUCGGGAGCCCCUAAGACGGGAUCCCGGCCCCGAAAUACAGUGGCGGUCUCGCCGCAGCCUCUCCUGCGCAGUAGUUUGCACAACUCGCACCGGGAGCGCGGCGCGUCCACGUCCGUAAAACACCCAACUUCUGAAAUGUUGACCUCGGAUCAGGUAGGAAUACCCGCUGAACUUAAGCAUAUCAAAAACGGGGAAGAAAA